AGACCCGAAACCCGGUGAUCUAGCCAUGGGCAGGUUGAAGGUUGGGUAACACUAACUGGAGGACCGAACCGACUAAUGUUGAAAAAUUAGCGGAUGACCUGUGGCUGGGGGUGAAAGGCCAAUCAAACCGGGAGAUAGCUGGUUCUCCCCGAAAGCUAUUUAGGUAGCGCCUCGUGAACUCAUCUCCGGGGGUAGAGCACUGUUUCGGCUAGGGGGCCAUCCCGGCUUACCAACCCGAUGCAAACUGCGAAUACCGGAGAAUGUUAUCACGGGAGACACACGGCGGGUGCUAACGUCCGUCGUGAAGAGGGAAACAACCCAGACCGCCAGCUAAGGUCCCAAAGUCAUGGUUAAGUGGGAAACGAUGUGGGAAGGCCCAGACAGCCAGGAUGUUGGCUUAGAAGCAGCCAUCAUUUAAAGAAAGCGUAAUAGCUCACUGGUCGAGUCGGCCUGCGCGGAAGAUGUAACGGGGCUAAACCAUGCACCGAAGCUGCGGCAGCGACACUUUAGUGUUGUUGGGUAGGGGAGCGUUCUGUAAGCCGUUGAAGGUGUCCUGUGAGGGGUGCUGGAGGUAUCAGAAGUGCGAAUGCUGACAUAAGUAACGAUAAAGCGGGUGAAAAGCCCGCUCGCCGGAAGACCAAGGGUUCCUGUCCAACGUUAAUCGGGGCAGGGUGAGUCGACCCCUAAGGCGAGGCCGAAAGGCGUAGUCGAUGGGAAACGGGUUAAUAUUCCCGUACUUGGUGUUACUGCGAAGGGGGGACGGAGAAGGCUAUGUUGGCCGGGCGACGGUA
RNAcentral lists this ribosomal RNA (791 nucleotides) under Salmonella enterica. RNAcentral's name for it is "partial 23S ribosomal RNA". It matches the Rfam family "Bacterial large subunit ribosomal RNA", at positions 711 to 1503 of the family's 2925-position model. The record is from RNAcentral. Lineage: Bacteria; Pseudomonadati; Pseudomonadota; Gammaproteobacteria; Enterobacterales; Enterobacteriaceae. RNAcentral also lists the same sequence under 1 other name.